RNAcentral lists this ribosomal RNA (301 nucleotides) under uncultured bacterium. RNAcentral's name for it is "partial 16S ribosomal RNA". It matches the Rfam family "Bacterial small subunit ribosomal RNA", at positions 509 to 809 of the family's 1533-position model. The record is from RNAcentral.
CAGUAGCCACGGUAAUACGAAGGGGGCUAGCGUUGCUCGGAAUUACUGGGCGUAAAGGGAGCGUAGGCGGACAUUUAAGUCAGGGGUGAAAUCCCAGAGCUCAACUCUGGAACUGCCCUUGAUACUGGGUGUCUUGAGUGUGAUAGAGGUAUGUGGAACUCCGAGUGUAGAGGUGAAAUUCGUAGAUAUUCGGAAGAACACCAGUGGCGAAGGCGACAUACUGGAUCAUUACUGACGCUGAGGCUCGAAAGCGUGGGGAGCAAACAGGAUUAGACCCCAGUAGUCCCUGUCUCUUAUACAC